GCUGUAGAAGCCCUUGUGAACUGUGAAUUUGCACCUGAGAUCCAAACAUUGUACGGUCCAACGCUCUGCACCAGCUUCAGCCUGGCUCGCAUCCAGCUAGUCCUGGCCCUCAGCAAGACACUAAGAGACCUUCCAGAUCCAGGUCUGUGAGAGAGAGAGAUUUAUUCAAGUGCUUUUGAUAGUUUUUUGGUUAUAAAAAGAACUUUGGAUUGAACGCACUUUAGACUUGAAGAGGGAAAAUCUUUUUCAGAUCCUGAAGAUUCAUGUGCUGCAAUCUUAGUGGCGUCUGAGUUCAGCGAACAGGAAAGACCGGACGAAGAACCAAAACCACUGAAGCAAAAACCUUUCACACUUUGUCAUGAAGGGAGUCAGCUCACAUCAGAAAGAAUUAAGAUGGUGUUACUGGAAGCAGCAUCUUCUCUGUUGACCUCCACCACAGAACAGCUGGUAUUGCUGGGCUGCAGUGAGGAGGAGAAGCUGGAGCUCACCGUGGAGUCCAGUCUUCUUAAAGCCAGCCUCCACCUACAGCAGGGACGUCCCAAACUCAGUUUUGAGGCAGCAGUUUCAUCUUUAGUCCUUCUACAAACAUCACCUGUGACUAUUGGAGCGUCCGACUCUAAACUUACAGAGGGCCCAGUGACGGACAGUCAGUCCAGAGACUGUCCUGGAGCUGCCGGGGCAGCCGAGAGAAUCGGUCCAUCUCUGUGGCUGCGUUGCCGCCUGGCUCUGGUACAAAGCCUGGUUGCCAGUAUCCAUGCAAAUGCAACUCUUCUCCCAGGUUUGGGUUCUGUGUGUUUUUGUUGA
RNAcentral lists this long non-coding RNA (804 nucleotides) under Oryzias javanicus (javanese ricefish). RNAcentral describes it as "lncRNA (ENSOJAG00000008823.1)". The record is from RNAcentral. Lineage: Eukaryota; Metazoa; Chordata; Actinopteri; Beloniformes; Adrianichthyidae.